AAAAUUCAAGUUUGGGCAGCCUAAAAAUACCUCAAAAGUUCUUCAAGUCUUGGAGAUCUGAAAUUUGAAUCCAGACUUCAGAUUUCAUUACUCUUCAUAUUCAAAAUACAAAAAAAAAAUCAAAAACAACAGAAAACCAAAACAAAGUCACUGUUCUAUUGGUUAUUUUAGUUUAAAUUCAAGUUGGGUAGUGUAAUUCGAUCUUUGGAUUCAACAAAGGGUUGCUGAGAAUUAGAAGCUGUUUGCAUUUGCAUUCGAGUUCAUUUUGUUGUUGUUUUGGGUGCUGAGGUUCAAGUUUCUUUUGGUCUGUUAUUUCAAGUUCAUUUGGGGUGUAGUUGAGUGUUGAAAUUGCUACUAAAGUUCUGAGUUCGUUCCUGGACCUUUCAGCAAAUAGUCCCAUAGAAAAACUCUUUUUCCUUCAGUUUUCAAUUCCAUAUUAGCUUUGGCAUUCAAUCACCCAAAAAUAAAAAAAUAAAAACAUUCAGAAAUGGAAAAACC
RNAcentral lists this long non-coding RNA (498 nucleotides) under Nicotiana benthamiana. RNAcentral's name for it is "long non-coding RNA (NBEN_LNC002417)". Lineage: Eukaryota; Viridiplantae; Streptophyta; Magnoliopsida; Solanales; Solanaceae. The record is from RNAcentral.